UCGGGAAACCGGAGCUAAUACCGGAUAAUAUAUUGAACCGCAUGGUUCAAUAGUUAAAGACGGUUUUGCUGUCACUUAUAGAUGGAUCCGCGCCGCAUUAGCUAGUUGGUAAGGUAACGGCUUACCAAGGCAACGAUGCGUAGCCGACCUUAGAGGGUGAUCGGCCACACUGGAACUGAGACACGGUCCAG
Molecule: ribosomal RNA, 191 nt
Filed under: uncultured Staphylococcus sp.
Lineage: Bacteria; Bacillati; Bacillota; Bacilli; Caryophanales; Staphylococcaceae
Description: partial 16S ribosomal RNA
Rfam family: Bacterial small subunit ribosomal RNA
Source: RNAcentral